GAUCCUGGCUCAGAACGAACGCUGGCGGCAUGCCUAACACAUGCAAGUCGAACGAGACCUUCGGGUCUAGUGGCGCACGGGUGCGUAACGCGUGGGAACCUGCCUUUAGGUUCGGAAUAACUCAGAGAAAUUUGAGCUAAUACCGGAUGAUGUCUUCGGACCAAAGAUUUAUCGCCAAGGGAUGAGCCCGCGUAGGAUUAGCUAGUUGGUGUGGUAAAGGCGCACCAAGGCGACGAUCCUUAGCUGGUCUGAGAGGAUGAUCAGCCACACUGGGACUGAGACACGGCCCAGACUCCUACGGGAGGCAGCAGUGGGGAAUAUUGGACAAUGGGCGAAAGCCUGAUCCAGCAAUGCCGCGUGAGUGAUGAAGGCCUUAGGGUUGUAAAGCUCUUUUACCCGGGAUGAUAAUGACAGUACCGGGAGAAUAAGCUCCGGCUAACUCCGUG
Molecule: ribosomal RNA, 446 nt
Filed under: uncultured bacterium
Lineage: Bacteria
Description: bacterial SSU rRNA
Rfam family: Bacterial small subunit ribosomal RNA
Source: RNAcentral